GUCCUAGCCCUAAACGAUCGGCACUUGAGGUGGGCCCUGUCCGGGGUCCGUCUCGCAGCCAACGCGAUAAGUGCCGCGCCUGGGGAGUACGGUCGCAAGACUGAAACUCAAAGGAAUUGACGGGGGCCCGCACAAGCGGUGGAACAUGUGGUUCAAUUCGACGCAACGCGAAGAACCUUACCUGGGCUCGAAAUGCCGGUGACCAUCCGUAGAAAUAUGGACUUCCCGCAAGGGACACCAGUAUAGGUGCUGCAUGGCUGUCGU
Molecule: ribosomal RNA, 264 nt
Filed under: uncultured bacterium
Lineage: Bacteria
Description: partial 16S ribosomal RNA
Rfam family: Bacterial small subunit ribosomal RNA
Source: RNAcentral